GCGGUGAUCCUCUGAGUAGCCAGGUCGAGUCUUUCAAUUAUCUUAGGCUAAUGUGGAACAGCAGAUCCUGAGUCUCAAGUGUUAAAAAUAAACACCAGGACUCUGCUGUUGGUCUGAAUCAUCUCCAAGGGUCAUGUGCUCUGCAGUUCAACUUGAAGGUUGCCUAAAAAGGUGGAUCAAGCUGUAUGGAGAUGGCGUCAGUUGACUUGAGGUUCCCCAAGAAGAUUGAAAAUGUAUGAAGACUCCAGCUGAUAUGCAAGAUGUCUGCAUGUGGCCAAUCGUUUCAGAUUUUCUGACUUAAAAUGGAGAUGAAUGACCCGUCAUUAAAGUAGUCUUCAUGGACUCCCAUCCAGUAUCUUCAUGACUGCCAUCCUUGUACAGUGGCCAGCUCUCCAUAGUGCAAUAUGAAGAAUGUUACUUGGAGGUGUCCAAAGGGCUUCAGCCUCUGCAGUUUUGAAAAGGGAUGAAGUUGAGUUCAUCUGGUUGACUUUUUGGGUGAAGUUUCAGUUGCCCCUCCCUUUGUUCAAAGGGCCUCAUCCUCUGUAAAAGAAUGAAGUUGUGUGCAUCUGCUUGACUGAGGAUUUUUUUCAAUGGAAAUGUGUUUUUUUUUUUUAUGACUUUAAUAAAUUGCUAUUAAUCUGAAGUUGGUGUGUGAGUUAAUCUGCAUUAAGUGUGGUAUCUUUCAAUGUAUUGCACGGAUAGUUGCAAGUAUGAUUUAAAUAGUUAAUGUAAACUCUUGAGUGGAUUUUAUUUUUUAUUUUUUUCUCAAGACCAUAAACCACACACACACACUGUUCCC
Danio rerio (zebrafish) is the source of this 799-nucleotide non-coding RNA. NCBI's taxonomy places the organism in Eukaryota, Metazoa, Chordata, Actinopteri, Cypriniformes, Danionidae. The record is from Ensembl.